AACUCAACUUAUACCGAUCCUCAAACCGGUUUGGUUUACCAUAAUCUUCUAGACCAAAUGUUGGAUUCGGUUAUCUUCGCCAUGACCAAACUCGGUUACCCACACAUCCGCGUCGCAAUCUCCGAAACCGGAUGGCCUAACUCCGGGGACAUCGAUGAAACCGGCGCCAACGUACUCAACGCAGCCACGUAUAACCGGAAUUUGAUCAAGAAGAUGACCGCCAUUCCACCAAUCGGUACACCAGCUAGACCCGGUUUAGCUAUACCGACAUUUGUUUUCUCCUUGUUCGACGAAAACCAGAAAUCCGGUUCGGGAACACAGAG
RNAcentral lists this long non-coding RNA (323 nucleotides) under Brassica napus (rape). RNAcentral's name for it is "long non-coding RNA (BNAP_LNC015910)". Lineage: Eukaryota; Viridiplantae; Streptophyta; Magnoliopsida; Brassicales; Brassicaceae. The record is from RNAcentral.